This 283-nucleotide long non-coding RNA is filed under the name Lathyrus oleraceus (garden pea). RNAcentral's name for it is "Pisum sativum (pea) long non-coding RNA (PSAT_LNC008151)". Lineage: Eukaryota; Viridiplantae; Streptophyta; Magnoliopsida; Fabales; Fabaceae. The record is from RNAcentral.
GUGAUAGUUGUGGAAAAAUCUCUAAAAUUAAAGGGAAUGAAAAUUUGGGUAACUAAUGAAAUGAUAUAGAGUAGAUAUCACUCAAUUUGACUUUUGCUCAAUAUGAUUUUAACUAAUCCAAACAAUGAAGUUUUAUUUUAUUUCAUCUCAUACCACUGUAUUCCAUCAAUCUAAACAAAAUUUAUGUCCUAAUAUGUGCUACUUCAGUAUUCUCAACAACAUCAAACCGAAAGAAAACCUUUUCAUACACCAAAACAAAGAAAAACGUCAUAGACAUAGAUAU